UACGUAUGGAGCAAGCGUUAUCCGGAUUUACUGGGUGUAAAAGGAGCGCAGGCGGUCUGGCAAGUCUGAUGUGAAAGGCCGGGGCUCAACUCCGGGACUGCAUUGGAAACUGUCAGACUGGAGUGUCGGAGAGGUAAGCGGAAUUCCUAGUGUAGCGGUGAAAUGCGUAGAUAUUAGGAGGAACACCAGUGGCGAAGGCGGCUUACUGGACGAUGACUGACGCUGAGGCUCGAAAGCGUGGGGAGCAAACAGG
This 253-nucleotide ribosomal RNA is filed under the name uncultured bacterium. Its description in RNAcentral is "partial 16S ribosomal RNA". It matches the Rfam family "Bacterial small subunit ribosomal RNA", at positions 524 to 776 of the family's 1533-position model. The record is from RNAcentral.